UACGUAGGUGGCAAGCGUUGUCCGGAAUUAUUGGGCGUAAAGCGCGCGCAGGCGGUCCUUUAAGUCUGAUGUGAAAGCCCACGGCUCAACCGUGGAGGGUCAUUGGAAACUGGGGGACUUGAGUACAGAAGAGAAGAGUGGAAUUCCACGUGUAGCGGUGAAAUGCGUAGAGAUGUGGAGGAACACCAGUGGCGAAGGCGACUCUUUGGUCUGUAACUGACGCUGAGGCGCGAAAGCGUGGGGAGCAAAACAGG
This 254-nucleotide ribosomal RNA is filed under the name uncultured bacterium. Its description in RNAcentral is "partial 16S ribosomal RNA". It matches the Rfam family "Bacterial small subunit ribosomal RNA", at positions 524 to 776 of the family's 1533-position model. The record is from RNAcentral.